AUAUUCAUCACAAAAUUGGGUAUUGGUUCCUAAGAUAAAAUGACCAGGGUCAGUUUAUUGUAAUAAUACUGAGGUCAUUGCUUAAGAAAGGAACAUAGGUCUCAUUUGACACCCAAGCACAUCCACUGACGCUUCCAUCUCAUUCAAAAAAAUAUAACGGGACAAAAUGUUAUCCUAAAACAAGAAUAAUAUAGCAGACCCAUUCACUAAGGCCAUACCACA
Molecule: long non-coding RNA, 222 nt
Filed under: Elaeis guineensis (African oil palm)
Lineage: Eukaryota; Viridiplantae; Streptophyta; Magnoliopsida; Arecales; Arecaceae
Description: long non-coding RNA (EGUI_LNC072486)
Source: RNAcentral